Long non-coding RNA from Xiphophorus maculatus (southern platyfish), 769 nucleotides. RefSeq lists it as uncharacterized. The record is from RefSeq and is a predicted model, not a curated record. Lineage: Eukaryota; Metazoa; Chordata; Actinopteri; Cyprinodontiformes; Poeciliidae. The transcript is spliced from 3 exons.
GCAUACCAGGGCAAAGGAGGAUGCACUGGGCUGGGGGAUGAGCGUCCCAGUGAAGGAGGCAGUGGUGGCUGUUCUGAGGAGAAAGGCACGCAGAGAGCCAGGCACCCUAAGGAGGAUGUUCUCGAGUCGAGGAACCUAAUCUUUCCCAGCAGGGAUCGAAGCAGCUCUGGGCAUUGACAGUCACUCACCAGGCAAUGACUGUCACGUCGGCGCAAAGAGCCAGCCGUCGACCACAUCAAACGAAGCUGUCAGGGGGCCCUGCUUGUGAACUGUGGCAACAAACACCUCCUGAUCCUCACCUACAGCUCAAGAACAGACACCCACUGCUGUGCUUCCAGCCACUGCCUCCGCUGAGAAAAGAUGUUCUGUCCGGACCUCAUUUCCUUCUCCACUGCACCCCUCCCAGCUACCACCACCUUCCCUUGUCUCUCCCCCCCUCUCUGUCAAGUAGUGCUUGUGCUAACCUCGCGUCUGCUGACACACAAAGGCUUACUAAAGUGGGUUUUAUGAGUCCAUGUGAAGGAAAGACUGGUGCUGCUGGAGGUCAGAAAGUGUUCAGGAUGUGAACAACAUAAUACAGUUUUACUCUCAAUUUGAACCAGAGUCACACUUGAUUUUAACGUUUUUGGGUGGUGACUUUAAAAGUCACAGGGUGAAAGGAGGCAAUAUAUUUCAACAGGUUGCGACAAAUACUCUUUCCUGGAUUACCUACAACGUUUGUUAGCUUUGUAGUGAUAGUUGACACUUAAAGUUAGUUCUUUAACAGGGU